This 234-nucleotide ribosomal RNA is filed under the name uncultured Glomus. RNAcentral's name for it is "partial 18S ribosomal RNA". It matches the Rfam family "Eukaryotic small subunit ribosomal RNA", at positions 548 to 785 of the family's 1831-position model. The record is from RNAcentral. Lineage: Eukaryota; Fungi; Glomeromycota; Glomeromycetes; Glomerales; Glomeraceae.
UUGGAGGGCAAGUCUGGUGCCAGCAGCCGCGGUAAUUCCAGCUCCAAUAGCGUAUAUUAAAGUUGUUGCAGUUAAAAAGCUCGUAGUUGAAUUUCGGGACCAAUUUGUUGGUCGUGCCUCGGUACGUACUGGUAUUAUUGGUUUCUCCCUUCUGAAGAACCUCGAUGCCAUUGAUUUGGUGUCGUGGGGAAUCAGGACUGUUACUUUGAAAAAAUUAGAGUGUUUAAAGCAGGC